RNAcentral lists this transfer RNA (68 nucleotides) under Hyperolius ocellatus (golden-eyed reed frog). Its description in RNAcentral is "tRNA-Val". The record is from RNAcentral. Lineage: Eukaryota; Metazoa; Chordata; Amphibia; Anura; Hyperoliidae.
CAAAAUGUAAUUUAACUAAAAUUUCUCGCUUACACCGAGAGAAUAUCUAGUAAUAUAGAUCAUUUUGA